Molecule: ribosomal RNA, 465 nt
Filed under: uncultured bacterium
Lineage: Bacteria
Description: bacterial SSU rRNA
Rfam family: Bacterial small subunit ribosomal RNA
Source: RNAcentral
GACGAACGCUGGCGGCGUGCCUAACACAUGCAAGUCGAACGGAGAUAUGAUUUCGGUUGUAUCUUAGUGGCGAACGGGUGAGUAACGCGUGAGCAACCUGACCUUCAGAGGGGGAUAACACCUGGAAACAAGUGCUAAUACCGCAUAAGACCACGACCCGACAUCGGGAUGAGGUCAAAGGAGCAAUCCGCUGAGGGAGGGGCUCGCGUCCCAUUAGAUAGAUGGCGGGGUAACGGCCCACCAUGUCGACGAUGGGUAGCCGAGCUGAGAGGCUGAUCGGCCACACUGGAACUGAGACACGGUCCAGACUCCUACGGGAGGCAGCAGUGGGGAAUAUUGGGCAAUGGGCGCAAGCCUGACCCAGCAACGCCGCGUGAGGGAAGAAGGCUUUCGGGUUGUAAACCUCUGUCCUUGGUGACGAAAAAAAUGACGGUAGCCAAGGAGGAAGCCCCGGCUAACUACGUG